RNAcentral lists this ribosomal RNA (491 nucleotides) under uncultured bacterium. RNAcentral describes it as "partial 16S ribosomal RNA". It matches the Rfam family "Bacterial small subunit ribosomal RNA", at positions 29 to 506 of the family's 1533-position model. The record is from RNAcentral.
AGUGAACGCUGGCGGUAGGCCCAACACAUGCAAGUCGAACGGCAGCACAGUAAGAGCUUGCUCUUACGGGUGGCGAGUGGCGGACGGGUGAGGAAUACAUCGGAAUCUACUUUUUCGUGGGGGAUAACGUAGGGAAACUUACGCUAAUACCGCAUACGACCUACGGGUGAAAGCAGGGGAUCUUCGGACCUUGCGCGAUUGAAUGAGCCGAUGUCGGAUUAGCUAGUUGGCGGGGUAAAGGCCCACCAAGGCGACGAUCCGUAGCUGGUCUGAGAGGAUGAUCAGCCACCCUGGAACUGAGACACGGUCCAGACUCCUACGGGAGGCAGCAGUGGGGAAUAUUGGACAAUGGGCGCAAGCCUGAUCCAGCCAUACCGCGUGGGUGAAGAAGGCCUUCGGGUUGUAAAGCCCUUUUGUUGGGAAAGAAAAGCAGCAGGUUAAUACCCCGCUGUUCUGACGGUACCCAAAGAAUAAGCACCGGCUAACUUCGU